This is a long non-coding RNA of Bradysia coprophila, 114 nucleotides long. The record is from RefSeq and is a predicted model, not a curated record. Lineage: Eukaryota; Metazoa; Arthropoda; Insecta; Diptera; Sciaridae.
GAAAAUUAUUUAUAGUUGCAUUCGCCUUUAUCGUUUGACAUUUGCCAUUAUUGUCAGGAUUUAGGGUUAGUGUUAUUGUUCGGCAUUUAUGGACGAAAAAUCUGACGUUACCUA